GUGAUGCUGAACUGUCCACAGUCUGUUGAUGGACCGAUAAUGUGGAAAGUAAAUGAGAAAGAUCCAGACAGCACAAAAUACACCAUUACAAACAAUAAUAGAACUCUCAUUGUAAACAGCGCUACUUACAGUGACAGUGGCAGAUAUUCCUGUAUCAUACAAGCUAAUUCAGUACCUUUCAUCCAGUGGCAGAAUAUUGUUAUCGAACAACAACCCAGUAUCUCUGUGGAAAAUAAUGAGCGAGUUUUUCCCUGUGAAGACAGAACUGUUCAGCUCAAAUGCUGUGUUAAUGGAGGCUACAGUGUUGAAUGGGUCCUGAAUGACAUCGUGCAACAAUCAGGGUCAGAUUGUAUCACAGUAGACCAUAAAAUUCAAACGGAUAAUUGUAAGGAUGAAAUCUUUACAUGUCGACUCAAGGGUUUACAGCCACUUUAUAAAUACAGUUAUAGCAUGAGAAGUGUCACCGUAAAGACAAGCA
Paramisgurnus dabryanus is the source of this 478-nucleotide non-coding RNA. The record is from RefSeq and is a predicted model, not a curated record. NCBI's taxonomy places the organism in Eukaryota, Metazoa, Chordata, Actinopteri, Cypriniformes, Cobitidae.